RNAcentral lists this unclassified non-coding RNA (401 nucleotides) under Hevea brasiliensis (rubber tree). The record is from RNAcentral. Lineage: Eukaryota; Viridiplantae; Streptophyta; Magnoliopsida; Malpighiales; Euphorbiaceae.
AAAGCUAGAGAAAGAUUUAAAGUACUUUCCAGCUUUGGCUUCUUUUCUCUAGAGGAGUUCUCCCUCUCAUUAUCUUCGUCUUCGUGAACCUCCCUCUUUGAAGAAGAAUUGGACUUGGUUUCUUCCAGAUUCAUGAAAUCUCUCUCCACCCAUCUCUCAUCUUGAUUUGAAUUCUCUGAAAAGAUCACUUCUUUGCCCUUUUGAUUAAAACCCAGUUUAGGAUUUUCACAAAGGUAGCUAAGAGUAAGCUCUUGAGGUUUUGAGGCAAACCCAUCAAGACCCAUCUUCGACUCCUUGAGAAAAUCAAUCCCCUUGUGAGACAAAACUAUUUUCUGUUCCGGAUUUUCUUGGUUAUAUGAGCUCUCAGCCUCACCGUUGGAGAGAUGAUGACCUCUCCCCCA